CUGCUGCUUGUACUUGUAGUAUUAGUACUACUGCUUGUACAACUAUACUACAGAUACUAUUAAUCGUCUGGUAUUUGGUUGUCAAGCUGCUAGCUCGCCUUAGUGUUUUGCUAGUGGCUAACUAGUUAGCUCUCAUAGACUGGAAGCUCUCAAAAAGAUUUCAUAAUGAAAAAAGAGCCAAAAACUAUUCUUACCUAUGAAAAGUCAUUCCAAGUUUCCUUGUCUCAAUCGUACGACGUAGUGUGUAAUUGUAUGCAGCACAGUGAGCGGCAUACUUGUUUCCGUUUUCACGCCGUUUACAUCAACGGAAUGCACUGAAACUUUGCCCCCACUAGCUUAGCCUCGCUGUAGCACGCAGCUCAAAGGGGCGUGGCCUAUCUACUCAUUCAUAUCUAUAGCCGCAAUUCCACAAGCAUCUACUCGGCGCGGUACGGCUCACCACUAUUGUAUUUGACUCGGCUCGUCUCAGUUUAGUUGUUUUUCCGUAUAGCCUCAUCGUGGGUGGAGUCGUCAUAGCACAGCGAGCCGAAAGUCCCUUAACGUCAUUUAUGAGCGACACAAACGCAACAUAACGGAGGCGAUGGUUCACCUGCUGCUCAGUCUGUGGCUUUCUGUCAGAUUCAAAGUAAAAGAAGAGUCAUAGAAAGCUGAGAGCGGCGAGUCGGAACACUCAGGAGACACACAGGAGAGUUUAGGAGGCAAUACAGCAGUAUCAAGCUGAAGACAAGAGGAUAUGAACGAGACGACAUAUGAGGAUGCUCUCUUAUGAGACUUCAUGGGAUUUACCUGAAGCAGCAGCACAUGAUCCUGCAGUGGCACAAGGUGUAGAGGAGGAGGACAGAGAUGUACAGGAUGCACUGAUGCACUACGUGUCAUGUAAAAGUUAAAAGUUAUUCUUCUCGCUAUACUUCUGUUUUUCUGUCCCCGGACCGCUAUUGUUUUCUUGAAUGCAAUUCUGACAAUAAACUUUUGUACCUUUUGCA
Molecule: long non-coding RNA, 983 nt
Organism: Amphiprion ocellaris (clown anemonefish)
Lineage: Eukaryota; Metazoa; Chordata; Actinopteri; Pomacentridae
Exons: 2
Source: RefSeq, a predicted model, not a curated record